Molecule: ribosomal RNA, 502 nt
Filed under: uncultured bacterium
Lineage: Bacteria
Description: bacterial SSU rRNA
Rfam family: Bacterial small subunit ribosomal RNA
Source: RNAcentral
UGAACGCUGGCGGCGUGCUUAACACAUGCAAGUCGCACGAGAACGCUUCAGCUUGCUGAAGCAAGUAAAGUGGCGCACGGGUGAGUAACGCGUGGGUAAUCUACCCUUGAAUUGGGGAUAACCCGCCGAAAGGCGGGCUAAUACCGAAUGACAUCUUGAAAACGUAUGUUUUCAGGAUCAAAGAUGGCCUCUACAUGUAAGCUAUUGUUUGAGGAUGAGCCCGCGUACCAUUAGCUUGUUGGUAGGGUAAUGGCCUACCAAGGCUACGAUGGUUAGCUGGUCUGAGAGGAUGAUCAGCCACACUGGAACUGACACACGGUCCAGACUCCUACGGGAGGCAGCAGUGAGGAAUUUUGCGCAAUGGGGGAAACCCUGACGCAGCAACGCCGCGUGAGUGAUGAAGGCUUUCGGGUCGUAAAGCUCUGUCAAGUGGGAAGAAAUCAUAUAGAAUUAAUACUGCUAUAUAUUGACGGUACCACUGAAGGAAGCACCGGCUAACUCC